CUUUAACAAUCUGGAACAAGCUGAAAAUUUGAAACCAUCAAUAGGGUCAUUGACGAUAUUGAUGCGUCUCUCAACAUACUCCAAUUCGAAGACACCUUCGG
Molecule: small RNA, 101 nt
Filed under: Xenorhabdus cabanillasii
Lineage: Bacteria; Pseudomonadati; Pseudomonadota; Gammaproteobacteria; Enterobacterales; Morganellaceae
Description: Salmonella enterica Typhi npcRNA 44
Source: RNAcentral